Molecule: long non-coding RNA, 948 nt
Filed under: Marmota monax (woodchuck)
Lineage: Eukaryota; Metazoa; Chordata; Mammalia; Rodentia; Sciuridae
Source: RNAcentral
GAGCGCCAGCUCCCUGGGCCCUGCACUCUAUACCCACUGGCUCUUUGGGGGCUCCACAUCCUGCUGCUGAAGGAAUCAUGCUCCCCAUCUCCCAGGGGUCACCCUGAGCCUCUGGGAGGCACAGCCACAGGGCCACAGCUGCAUGGCUCACGGUCAGUGCCCACAGGGCCACAGAGCCAGACUCCCGGGCUGCUCUUUGAAUCAUGGAGACCCUGAUCUCUCCUGGUGCCUGCAGGCUUCUUGGAACCCAUGGGUCAGAGUUCAGUCAGGACACAGGAACCGCAGCACAGUGAUCUGAAGGGGUGGCAUUUAUUAUAAAGAAAGAGCUAUGGGAGGGGAGUGGCUGGUGGGAGGCAGGAGCCAACAUGAACAGAAUCCUAGGGCUGACACCACCUUGGAAGGUGGGGUUCAGGCCUCGUGGAGGUCUGUGGUUGCAGCCCGCCCCGCCCCCCGCGUUGGCAGAGACCACGGUUGCUUCCUGGAGGAGCCCAUGCUGGACACACCUGUCAGGAUCCAAGGGAGAGCGAGGGGGGACUACUGCAGGUGGAGCAUCAGGAGGGUCACAGCAAGGUGGUCACCAGACCCAGGACGGGCUUGCUGCGGGUCAUGCAGGCUGGGGCACAGCUGGGGCGAUGCCUACUGGCUUCCUCCCUCUGAGAGAAGGUUGCAGAAGGAGCAGGAAGAUGCCCAACAGCUUUCUUGCCGUGUCCCUCCAGCGCCCUCUACUGACGACGCCGAACACCGUGACCCUGUGCAGAAGGCCCCUGAGCCCCAUCCAGCAAGGGCUCGCAGGGGAAUCCACAGCCCAGACGCAGUAACGGACUGUGGGCCUGCAAACUACCGCCACAGGGCCACAUCGGGGAUGCUGCCUGUUAUUGUGCAGCUCAGGAUCUAAGAAGUUUUUUUGAACCUUUUUAAAUGAUUAAAAAAUAAUUUAGAGAAGAAUAA